UUUUGAAUUUCAUGCAAUUACCGCAGAUAGCAACUAUUAUUGCAUGGAAUGUGGGGAAGAUAUUGUAUUUUUUGUGUUUUAUCUUUGUUUCAAACAUUAUGACAUUAAUCGUGGGGAAGAUGUUGUAAAUUGGAUUUUCCUUGUGUAAUAUUUCUCUAAAAAAAAUCUAGUUAAAAUGAUACUAUGUUUUAUUAUUUCAAUUCAGUACAUGUAGCAUUUGAAUAUACAGUGUAUAAUGAACUUAUAUUGCACAUUAUAUCUGCCAACUUUAUCUUUAGUACUCUUUCUUCCUCUCUGUACUUCUAUCAGCUUUGACUUACUCUCUCCCUCUCUGCUCAUUGGCUAAUUCUUUCCCGCCUUUUUUGCUCAUUGGCUAAUUCUUUCCCGCCUUUUUUGGAGUAGCAGUAAUGCCAAUUCAUGUACCCCCUUUAGGGAUGCUUUUGUACUAUGAUGUGCACCAUUGCACUUUUAUUAUUAGCUAGGGAGAGAGUCCAGUGACUCAUGACACUGGCAGUAGCCAGGGCAUUCCCACUGCUUGUUGUUGAGGAGGAGACUUGUCCCUACAGAAGGAAGUUUAAUUUUGAAGUAGAGAAGACUUCUGCAAGGACUUCCCUUGAUGUACAAUUUUACUUUAGAUGUUGAAGCAAAAUGCAGAAUUAGUGUCUGACCGAGGCUGUUUUCCUUUGGUGAAUAAAAGAGUUCAAUGAAACCGCAGCCCUCGUGAGUCGUGUCAGUGUUGUGGUCGUCGGCGCGAACCCUUUCA
This is a long non-coding RNA of Lytechinus variegatus (green sea urchin), 763 nucleotides long. RefSeq lists it as uncharacterized. The record is from RefSeq and is a predicted model, not a curated record. Lineage: Eukaryota; Metazoa; Echinodermata; Echinoidea; Temnopleuroida; Toxopneustidae. The transcript has 3 exons.